CAGGAACUCACUGUUAAUAACAAUAACUCACACACUGCAUGAUUGUGAACAGAUGCGUCUGCACAGGAGGAAGCAAAACAGAGUUUAUUUUUAAAAGAGAGGAAGGGUCUCUGGACUUUCAUAUCUGAACACCUGAGCAUUGGCGCCACCUGCUGCUCGAGAUUAAACUCAGCGCAGUUCCGUUUCCGGGCAGUAGGCGGCGCUUCCGGCUUCAUCAGAUUCUCCUGAAGCAGAAGAACACACAGAGCUCGUGAGGCGGAAGUACAGCGAGUUCAUGCGCGCGGUUAGUUUCUGAUAUCUCUCCGCAGGUGAUGAGACUCGGUCCGCGGCGGGCUCUGAGCGGCGGCGCGCUGUGUUCGCUCGUACUCGGAGGAGUUUUAGGAAGAAUGUCGUCGUCAUCGGUGUCUGGGCUCCCGAACCGGACUGUGAUCUGGGAGACGUCAGAGCUGUCUGCGCAUCUGCACUCCUCCCCGUGGACUCCAGGGGUCGCUGUCGUCACCCAUAAGAGCUUCAGCAGCACCGCCAGCCUCUUCCACUUACCUGAGGAUGCAUUUCUGCAUCUGCUCCUGGGCGCAAGAUCAGUCGCGCACCUGCUGUGCGAGAGUCUGGCGGUGCAGCGCUGCGCUUUGGUCUACACUCCGCACAAACGGGCCCGACCCGAGCUCCACGUGGUGCCUCUCCACGGCCUGCACUCGGAGUGGAAACCUCACCUCGCUGCGGAGGAGGAUUUCCAGGCGUACGAUCCCGGAUACAUCAGCUCCAAGAGCGGGCCGCGCUGGACAGAUGAGGAUCUAGACUCCAUCAGGAGCCAAAUCCGGGCUCAGCUGCCAAACCCGAACGCGGCGCCCAACUACACCUUUCUGGGCGAUCCGUCCGACCUCGGGCUGUUCCCACGCAUCGUGCGUGGAGAAGAGAAGCAGUGGAGAGUUUGGGAAGAUGACGAGCAUGUGGCCUUCCUCACACCGUUCCCCAACACGCCCGGACUGACCGUUCUGGUCCCACGGAAGCCCCUCUCCAGUGACAUCUUCCGGCUGGAGGAGGGUGACUAUCGGCGGCUGGCGCUGGCCUCCCGGAAGGUGUCCGGGCUUCUGGAGGCGGGGCUUGGCGCCUGGGGGGUGGGGCUUAUUUUUGAGGGCUUUGAGAUCGAUUACGCUCAUGCUAAGCUGAUUCCGCUUGUCUCUCCGCCUGAUGAAGCGGAGAUGAGCCUCAGCUGUCCGGCUCCGGAGUUCUUUGAACGCUAUCCGGGCUACGUGACGUCCGUCAGCGGUCCGCCAGCCAGCACGGAGAGUCUCCACGAGAUCUGUGCCAGAGUUACCCAGCGCUAA
This is a long non-coding RNA of Cyprinus carpio (common carp), 1325 nucleotides long. NCBI's taxonomy places the organism in Eukaryota, Metazoa, Chordata, Actinopteri, Cypriniformes, Cyprinidae. The record is from Ensembl.